UGUAUUCACUAUUGUAAGUCGCUCUGGAUAAGAGUGUCUGCUAAAUGACUAAAA
This is a non-coding RNA of Salmo salar (Atlantic salmon), 54 nucleotides long. NCBI's taxonomy places the organism in Eukaryota, Metazoa, Chordata, Actinopteri, Salmoniformes, Salmonidae. The record is from Rfam.